UUAAAAAUUUGUAUUCUUUGUUAUGAACAAAUAAAAUUAAUAAAGUUAAAAUUUUAAAAUCAAAUGUACAAAAAAGAAAAUUAGAAAAAGUAACAAAAACUAAAACUAAAACCAAGCCCAGAAAACCCUACCCCCAUCCAUCUUCCCCAACCAAAUUUGGAUUAGGAGGAAGAAAAAUGCAAAAUCUAUGGCACCACAAUGGCUGCUUGGCCAUAAUAACAUAAUUUGGACCAGGAUACUAAAGAUAGCACUGAUCAAUCAAAGUUGGAAUUUCCCUAUGAAUUCGAAUCGGAAUCCCAAUCUCCAUCAUCAUCAACUCGUCAUCGUCAUCGCUACUGCCCAUCAGAGAUCCUCACGUUCGCAUGGCCACUGCUCAUUGGAAGUCCUCACGCUUGCAUCGUCAUGUACGUGGCCAUGGUUCACACAUGCCCCGCCUUCUUUCUAGCCCUCGGUUACGGUGAAAAACCAAGAAAUUCUUUAGUGUCGAGUCGAGAAAGUUGGCGAAGCUACGGUUCGGAUCUUGGAGGGGAAUGAUAGAGGAAAGAGAAAUAAGUGUUUUGGUGGUAAAGUGGUUAUUAGUGGUGGUCAGAGUUGGCCGGUCUGGGCUCUGAAAUUUUUGGCAACUGCUACAGUUUUGGGGCUUGAUUGAGGGUUAUGAUGUCAGUGGCCGUGAUAGGACGACGAAAAUUGUAGGCCUGGAAAACUAGAAGGCAUUGGGUGCGCAACAGUUUCUUCUCAUUGUUUUCACGUGAUACAUGACAUGACACUGAGAGAAGUGUUCUUGUUUUUGUUUUUAGUUUUUUU
RNAcentral lists this long non-coding RNA (804 nucleotides) under Prunus dulcis (almond). Its description in RNAcentral is "sRNA ncRNA". Lineage: Eukaryota; Viridiplantae; Streptophyta; Magnoliopsida; Rosales; Rosaceae. The record is from RNAcentral.